This 150-nucleotide non-coding RNA is filed under the name Pycnococcus provasolii. The record is from RNAcentral. Lineage: Eukaryota; Viridiplantae; Chlorophyta; Pseudoscourfieldiophyceae; Pseudoscourfieldiales; Pycnococcaceae.
ACGCCGCUCAACGCUAUCAUCAGGAGAAUACUAGGAAGAACGGGAAACAAACAAGGCGCACUAGCACUGUCGGCCGACCCGUGGGGUGCGGUACGCAACCACGCGGAACGCAUCCUCUCGCGAAAGUCAACAAACAGAAUCACAAACGCG